AUGCUUAGGAAUCUGCCUAUUAGUGGGGGACAACAUCUCGAAAGGGAUGCUAAUACCGCAUACGUCCUACGGGAGAAAGCAGGGGAUCACUUGUGACCUUGCGCUAAUAGAUGAGCCUAAGUCGGAUUAGCUAGUUGGUGGGGUAAAGGCCUACCAAGGCGACGAUCUGUAGCGGGUCUGAGAGGAUGAUCCGCCACACUGGGACUGAGACACGGCCCAGACUCCUACGGGAGGCAGCAGUGGGGAAUAUUGGACAAUGGGGGGAACCCUGAUCCAGCCAUGCCGCGUGUGUGAAGAAGGCCUUAUGGUUGUAAAGCACUUUAAGCGAGGAGGAGGCUCUUUUGGUUAAUACCCAAGAUGAGUGGACGUUACUCGCAGAAUAAGCACCGGCUAACUCUGUGCCAGCAGCCGCGGUAAUACAGAGGGUGCAAGCGUUAAUCGGAUUUACUGGGCGUAAAGCGCGCGUAGGCGGCCAAUUAAGUCAAAUGUGAAAUCCCCGAGCUUAACUUGGGAAUUGCAUUCGAUACUGGUUGGCUAGAGUGUGGGAGAGGAUGGUAGAAUUCCAGGUGUAGCGGUGAAAUGCGUAGAGAUCUGGAGGAAUACCGAUGGCGAAGGCAGCCAUCUGGCCUAACACUGACGCUGAGGUGCGAAAGCAUGGGGAGCAAACAGGAUUAGAUACCCUGGUAGUCCAUGCCGUAAACGAUGUCUACUAGCCGUUGGGGCCUUUG
This 728-nucleotide ribosomal RNA is filed under the name uncultured bacterium. RNAcentral's name for it is "bacterial SSU rRNA". It matches the Rfam family "Bacterial small subunit ribosomal RNA", at positions 113 to 834 of the family's 1533-position model. The record is from RNAcentral.